This 1078-nucleotide ribosomal RNA is filed under the name Agreia sp. 736G186. RNAcentral describes it as "bacterial SSU rRNA". It matches the Rfam family "Bacterial small subunit ribosomal RNA", at positions 56 to 1146 of the family's 1533-position model. The record is from RNAcentral. Lineage: Bacteria; Bacillati; Actinomycetota; Actinomycetes; Micrococcales; Microbacteriaceae.
UGCAAGUCGAACGAUGAAGCCCAGCUUGCUGGGUGGAUUAGUGGCGAACGGGUGAGUAACACGUGAGUAACCUGCCCUUGACUCUGGGAUAAGCACUGGAAACGGUGUCUAAUACCGGAUAUUUCAGCUGGCCGCAUGGUCUGGUUGUGGAAAGAAUUUUGGUCAAGGAUGGACUCGCGGCCUAUCAGGUUGUUGGUGAGGUAAUGGCUCACCAAGCCUACGACGGGUAGCCGGCCUGAGAGGGUGACCGGCCACACUGGGACUGAGACACGGCCCAGACUCCUACGGGAGGCAGCAGUGGGGAAUAUUGCACAAUGGGCGAAAGCCUGAUGCAGCAACGCCGCGUGAGGGACGACGGCCUUCGGGUUGUAAACCUCUUUUAGUAGGGAAGAAGCGAAAGUGACGGUACCUGCAGAAAAAGCACCGGCUAACUACGUGCCAGCAGCCGCGGUAAUACGUAGGGUGCAAGCGUUGUCCGGAAUUAUUGGGCGUAAAGAGCUCGUAGGCGGUUUGUCGCGUCUGCUGUGAAAACUGGAGGCUCAACCUCCAGCCUGCAGUGGGUACGGGCAGACUAGAGUGCGGUAGGGGAGAUUGGAAUUCCUGGUGUAGCGGUGGAAUGCGCAGAUAUCAGGAGGAACACCGAUGGCGAAGGCAGAUCUCUGGGCCGUAACUGACGCUGAGGAGCGAAAGCAUGGGGAGCGAACAGGAUUAGAUACCCUGGUAGUCCAUGCCGUAAACGUUGGGAACUAGAUGUGGGGGCCAUUCCACGGUCUCCGUGUCGCAGCUAACGCAUUAAGUUCCCCGCCUGGGGAGUACGGCCGCAAGGCUAAAACUCAAAGGAAUUGACGGGGGCCCGCACAAGCGGCGGAGCAUGCGGAUUAAUUCGAUGCAACGCGAAGAACCUUACCAAGGCUUGACAUAUACGAGAACGGGCCAGAAAUGGUCAACUCUUUGGACACUCGUAAACAGGUGGUGCAUGGUUGUCGUCAGCUCGUGUCGUGAGAUGUUGGGUUAAGUCCCGCAACGAGCGCAACCCUCGUUCUAUGUUGCCAGCACGUUAUGGUGGGAACUCAUAGGA